AAUGUCAAAAUUUCUAAAUUUUAUGGUAAAUAUAAUUUUUAAAUGAUUGCUUACAAUUGUAUUUUUUUAAAGUAUUUAUUUUUAAUCUAGAUUUUUAUUUAUUUUAAAAAAUGUCAAAAUUUUUAUAUUUUACCGUAUUAUUUUUGUUGAGCAUUCUCUUUCUAUAUUACUCAAAUGGCUUAGCUCUUAAGGAUACGAAUGAAGUACGUGAUUCGAAUUGCUCUAAUCCUUGCCUUCUCUUUCAUUGCCCUUACACACGCGAGGAAUAUAAAGAUAACAAAGGAUGCACAGCAUGCAGAUGCGUUGAUUAUUUUUAUAUAAACCCUUGAAUAAAUAAACCUAUUUGAUGAUAGACUUGACGUUGUUUGACUUUGCAAAUUUAUAUUUAUAUGUCAAUAAUAAUUUAUCAAUUAUAUAUGUAUAUUUUCAUUAUAUUUAAUAUUACACUAUGUAUUUUAAAAAAUGUUAUACGUGAAAAAUACUAUUUUUUUCUCUUGAA
Molecule: long non-coding RNA, 499 nt
Organism: Gordionus sp. m RMFG-2023
Lineage: Eukaryota; Metazoa; Nematomorpha; Gordioida; Chordodea; Parachordodidae
Exons: 2
Source: RefSeq, a predicted model, not a curated record